This 775-nucleotide ribosomal RNA is filed under the name uncultured Neocallimastigales. RNAcentral describes it as "partial large subunit ribosomal RNA". It matches the Rfam family "Eukaryotic large subunit ribosomal RNA", at positions 26 to 643 of the family's 3401-position model. Lineage: Eukaryota; Fungi; Neocallimastigomycota; Neocallimastigomycetes; Neocallimastigales. The record is from RNAcentral.
CGCAUCUGUGCAUGCAGCAUAUCAAUAAGCGGAGGAAAAGAAACUAACAAGGAUUCCCUUAGUAACGGCGAGUGAAGCGGGAAGAGCUCAAAUUUGAAAUCUUCAAGGUUUUACCUUGACGAAUUGUAGUUUAAAGAAGUGUUUUCUGUUGAAGUUUUGGUAAAAGUUCUUUGGAAUAGGACAUCAUAGAGGGUGAGAAUCCCGUAUUUGACCAUUAUUUUCAGCUGUGUGAUACACUUUCAAAGAGUCGGAUUGUUUGGGAAUGCAGUCCAAAAUGGGUGGUAAAUUUCAUCUAAAGCUAAAUAUUGGCGAGAGACCGAUAGCGAACAAGUACCGUGAGGGAAAGAUGAAAAGAACUUUGAAAAGGAGAGUUAAACAGUACGUGAAAUUGUCAAAAGGGAAGCGUUUGACACCAGUGUUGUUUUCUCGAAAAUCAAUUAAAAAGAGUUUGAUUUUGUUGUGUAUUGACCUUAACAGCUUGCAUUUCAAUUUUCUUGCUUUUUUUAAUGCACUUUUCGUUUAACAAGUCAACAUCAGUUUCUUUUGUUGUAAAAAGGUCAUUGGAAGGUGGCUUUCUUUUCGGAGAAAGUGUUUAUAGCCUUUGACUCCUGCAAUCGGAGAGACUGAGGUCUGCAGCGUAGAUCCUUCGGGGUUAGAUACAUUUGUGCUAAGUUAUAGCUUUUUAUAGACAACUUGUUGACUAUGAUUAGUCUUGUAGCUUACUCGCUUAUGCUAUUUUACCUACGCUUAGGAUGUUGACACACGCGCGUGCUCG